Molecule: non-coding RNA, 503 nt
Organism: Coturnix japonica (Japanese quail)
Lineage: Eukaryota; Metazoa; Chordata; Aves; Galliformes; Phasianidae
Source: RefSeq, a predicted model, not a curated record
UUAUCAGCCAGCUCCUGGGACAUGGAGCAGCCUGGACAGGUUCUCCUUUGGCUGGGAUCCAGUACUCCAUAACCCCAUGGGGCUCUGCUGGUCCCACAGCAUCGACAUGGUGGAGUCCCAGCACUGCAAAGAUUGGUCUCUGCAGGAGGUGGAUCAAUGGAGCUCAGGAUGGAGCUGGCCUCACGUCCCCCCUGCUGCCACUUCCCUGUGCUGUGACCUUGGGCAGAAGCUGGGCAUAGAAGAAAAAAAAAUCACCGAAGAUCAUAGAAGAAAAUAUCACUGAAAGGAAAGAAGCCAAUGAAAAUCCAAUGAAGCAAGCAGGAAUAGAGCAGAGACCGGUGCUGGCUGCUCACUGUCCCCAUCCCAGAGACACAGAGCUGGGAGCUGAGGAGAAAAGCAAAGGUGAGGAUGGUAGUGGGCAGCACAGCGGCUCCUUAUGCACAAGGGCCCAUAGUCAGAGUUUCCGUCAGUUACUGAAUUGCAGAUAAUAAAGAUUGAGGAGA